This is a long non-coding RNA of Triticum aestivum (bread wheat), 4233 nucleotides long. RefSeq lists it as uncharacterized. The transcript has 3 exons. NCBI's taxonomy places the organism in Eukaryota, Viridiplantae, Streptophyta, Magnoliopsida, Poales, Poaceae. The record is from RefSeq and is a predicted model, not a curated record.
GCCGUAGGCUGCUCUUCCCAUCGUGCUCAAAGUUUCGUGUCAUAGCCAUCCUCAGCCGCGCCCAUGUUCGUGUCCGACGGCAUCUGGCCGCGCGCGCCACUUCCUAGCCGCACCCAGGCGCGCGACCGCUGCCUGCCCUGCGCCAGCGCUGCUCGCCUCCGCGUGCGUGUGGCCUCGCCCGAGUCGCCGCUGCUCCCUGUGUCUGUGCUGUUUAUUUUUCUUUUGUUUUGCUGCUGCUCCUCUUACCUGCUACCGCUACUGCUUGCCACAUCGCUGGCUGCUACUAUCGCUCCUGCUGCCUUCUAGCACCGCUGAUGGUGCUGUAACUUUGCUGCUGCUGGCCGUGGCCCGUCCGCCGGUGCUGUGUUGCCGCUGCUGCUUCGUGCUUGCUAUUGUUGCCGCAUGUAGGUACUGCUCAAGCUACGCCUGCUGCUGCUGAUCUGCUGGACUCCAGUGCGUGCGUACUCAUGUGGACUUAGUGCGUGCGUGCUCAUGUGGAAUCAGUGCAUGUGUGCCCAAUGCAAGUAGCCGGCUUGGCCAUGGCCGGGGCGGUUUCACCCAUCGCUGCUCUACUGCUGCUUGUCUGCUUCUAGCCACCGAUGCUACCUUUUAUAUACUACUGCAAGUACUGUAGUGGGUAGCUAGCUUUUGUAUUUCUACAAUAACUAGCCUUCUAAACUGCCACUAAACAGCGAUAAGACAAGUCCUAACAUGGGUAAAAAUUAUAUAAACGGAAAGUAGACGUAACAAGCCUCAUUUUGUUCCAUUGGACCUGCUUCAGAUAAUGCAUGGAUUAAAUCCUACAAAAAUCACAAAAUGAUAUCUGGUGUUAAAAGGAAUAGAGCUACUCCCUAUCAUUUUGUGUGCGAGUGGGCUGUGCCACAGCCGUGUGUGGCCGACAUGAUUAGUUUAGGCUAAUCUAGAUUAAUUGCGUAAUCUUUGUUAGGUUAGUUGCUAGCCUAUGGCAGGUGGACCUCUUUUAGUUAAGUUAGAUUUUAUUUAUUUUGUCUACAUAACUAGAAUACUAGGCCCGUAAGGGUUCAAUUUACCUAUUUUUUUGGAGUUUUUUUUAAUGCCCUUGUUCGCAUGACGCGUGUGAUGGGAGUGUACCUCCUUUUUUUAUCUCACUGAGCCUUUCACGUGAGAUGGUAGUACGGUGGUUGCUGGUUUGACUGAAUUGUGGUGUGCCACGUACUCUCCACGUGUUCGGCUCCCAUGCAUGAGAUAAUCUCUAGAAAACUCGGGUGAAGUCCUCCACCGCCCUAUGGGCCUACGAAAAGCCCACCUCACCCCGAUCAAAUGAAACCCUCGCUUCUCGAACCACCUCUCCUCUACGGGUCUCCAGGGUUGCGGAAAAAAAGCGGCGCCAGCAGGCUACGGGGAGGAGGGCAGCGCCCUGCCGACGAUUUAUCUGGCUACUUCCUCCCCGUCGAUCCCUGCCUGGACCAUACCGUCUCCAUCUUGAAGAAGGCUCGAUCUUUUCCGGCGUCAGAUUGAUGAGUUCGUGAUGUACGAAAAGAGAAUGCCUUAGAAAGACCGGUCAUACGAAAGAGCACUUAUUACUAUUGAAAUAUUAUGGUGACGAUGUUUAGCAGUCAUAAAAGGGAGAGAAAACGAAGGUUAAAAAUACUUCAAAGGAAUAGGACUGAAGGCUACCAUAGAACCUACAGGGUCUAGGAACACAGGAAUAAGAGAAAGUAGACUGUUCGGAUCACAGCAGCCUUAAGGGUUUUUAAAUUGGCCACAAGGCAGCUUUGUCUCUAUCUCUCACCCCAUCACGUCACACAUCAGCUCAUUUUAAUUAGCUCUGCAUGCUGACUGCCACGAUCAGAGCACCUCGUCUCGGUCUUCCGCGAAAAACAUGAGCUCCGGGCAGAUUUUUCAAUUCCUAUGGAAUCGGCAUCGAAAGGACAGGUUUCCUUUGGAUCACUGUAGGUCAUUCCUGCGUUUCGAACACCACAAAGGAAAAUAAACCUUCAUGAACAGUAUUCCUUCAUGAUUCCUGCAAAAAUCCUAUGAACCGAACGGAGCCUGAAUAUGGUCCAGUUAGUGGCGUAUUAUUCCUUGCAUUCAACACGUGUGUAUAACACCUCGACGAUGUGUUAUUCUAUAUUGAAGUUUUAAUGAACCUGAACUCUUCUGAUUAUUUUGUGUAAGCAUGAACUCUUGGCGUGCAGGUGUAAGUUGAUUUUUUUUUUCAAAAAAAAGGUGCAAGUCCUAUCAGGCACAUGGACAACUAACAUCAUGCUUCCUCUGUUUAGACAUUACUCUACCACGUAAUUGGUCUUUGGUUCUCUAGGAGAUCGUGGUCCAUAUUUGAUUAACUUACAAAAAUAUAUGCAUUAACAUGAAGCUUUGCUGGAGUAUUUGUGCAAAGGGUAAGUUAUGCGAAGGGUAAACAAUGCUUUAUUUGUUCUAUCUAAUCUAAAUUUUAAAAGCUUUUUGUAAGAAAAAUAUGGCCAGGCAUUUACCAACAGGCAAGAUCUAGCAGCUUACCUUAUUUUUAUUCCGGAUGUUUAGUCAUGCAUCCGAAUUUCCGGCAUGAUAGCUCACUUCUUUCAUGUGUAAAUAAUUCCCUCUCCAAGGGAUUCCUUAAUUUAUUUCUAUCCUAGCAGUUCGUACAUAUCUAUAUUUUGUGUGGAGCGUUUUCUAUUUCAUUUUCUUUUACUUUGUUUUGAUAUAUGGAUUCUGACUGUAGUAAUUCAGUUUUUCCACCAAUUGUUGGAUGCUUAAAUUACCUUCAAGAAGUGUUUUUUCCCGCUCCCACAUAGCAUGCAACAGUUAUAUGCAUCAUUUGACUGGCUGUGUCAUACAGUUAAAAGCUUAGUAUUUUUGCUCAUACAAGGAACAGAUUCAGUUCAGUUAAUUUAGCUCUAUUGGCUGUAUCAGUAAAACGUGGAAGUGUGCAAUUUUGCUGUACAUACUCCCCUAUUUGUAUCGGUUCAGUUAAUUCAACUCUAAUUAUGUUAGUUGUAAAACAUGGAAGAGUUGUUCGCUGGGGUUCUUUUCCCCCCUCUCCUUCUUUAAUGAAUGAUAUGCAUACUCCGUAUUCUAGAAAACAAAAUACAUAUCCCCUAUAUAUGCCCUUCUUAUCCUUUCUUAAAAAUAACUUGAUACGUACAAGAGAAUAAUUACUUCCUGUAGAUCUCCUUCCAAGUUUAUUUACUUGAUCCUUUUUCCUUUCACUUCCCUUGACCUAUUUUUUGGUGCACUGACAUGGUGUCUUCAGUGGAAAAUUCUGAUGCUUCUAUGCUUUCAUGACUGAAUAUUUUAAAUAUGAUUAAACAUAUGUUAUUUUCUCAUGGAAAAUCAAGUUAUAAGUAGCUUAAAUGCUUAUUGCUGUUGGCAUGAGAUCUAUGGGUUCUCUCUUAGUAAUCAAGCACGUCAACUUCUGCUUUUCAGAGAAGGUUCCAUGUUGCCAUGUUCUUUCUGAAGUUAAAUUGGCAUUACAAAUUUUGUGAUCAAUAGCUUUCAGAAGAAAAAGGUUGCUCAAGCUACUCUUCAUCAAGUUUGCACAUAUCACGGUAUAGUCAUCAACGACCACAAUCAUGAUGCGCUCAAGACAAUGUUCAGGAGUUAGUCAACAACACAAUAGUGGAGCGGAACCGAUCACUACUUAGUGAUUUGGAAAGCAGAGUACUAUUACUUUACAGAGGGAGUACAUUGUGGUACUUUGAUUUUUCUUUGCAAUAUUUAUUACAUAGAGAUAAUCUAGAGCAUUCUGGAGGGGAACUAAUCGGUAUGGAAUACUGAUGCAUAUGCAUUUUCUGGUGCAACUUGCUUCUAGGAUGUGGCAACCAUUUGAGAAAAUUUUAUACUUCCUCUGUCCUUAAUUAUUUGUUAGAUAAAUGGAUGUGAUACGAUCAAGGAUCCUCAAAAAAUUUAUCUCCCAUUUCAAGAUAAUUUGCCAAACCGUCGAGAGCCAGGACGUGCAUCCAGUAGCAACUUCAACAUUGUCUAGGCAUCAAACAAACCACCUGAAUAAGAGCAAAAGAACCAGCUUCAUCUAUCUACCACUACAUUGUAGAGACACACCCAGCUGGAGGAUCAACAUCUCAGGUCUAGGAAGAGAACAAGAGCUUCACAAUUCUGCAUUCAGUAUCCACUAUCACUACGUGUUGUAGAUCACCUAUGCAUGUACCAACUAGAUGUACCUUUUCCUGAUCACCUAUGCAUGUAUCAACUACAUGUACCUAUCCUUGUAUGAACUAUUUUGCUACGAUCGAGUUUUGG